This 440-nucleotide ribosomal RNA is filed under the name uncultured bacterium. RNAcentral describes it as "partial 16S ribosomal RNA". It matches the Rfam family "Bacterial small subunit ribosomal RNA", at positions 338 to 795 of the family's 1533-position model. The record is from RNAcentral.
CCUACGGGAGGCAGUAGUGGGGAAUAUUGCACAAUGGGGGAAACCCUGAUGCAGCGACGCCGCGUGAGUGAAGAAGUAAUUCGUUAUGUAAAGCUCUAUCAGCAGGGAAGAAAAUGACGGUACCUGAGUAAGAAGCCCCGGCUAACUACGUGCCAGCAGCCGCGGUAAUACGUAGGGGGCAAGCGUUAUCCGGAUUUACUGGGUGUAAAGGGAGCGUAGACGGCAGUGCAAGUCUGGAGUGAAAGGCGGGGGCUCAACCCCCGGACUGCUCUGGAAACUGUACGGCUGGAGUGCAGGAGAGGCAGGCGGAAUUCCUAGUGUAGCGGUGAAAUGCGUAGAUAUUAGGAGGAACACCAGUGGCGAAGGCGGCCUGCUGGGCUUUUACUGACGCUGAGGCUCGAAAGUGUGGGGAGCAAACAGGAUUAGAUACCCCAGUAGUC